RNAcentral lists this long non-coding RNA (1939 nucleotides) under Mustela putorius furo (domestic ferret). RNAcentral describes it as "lncRNA (ENSMPUG00000026267.1)". Lineage: Eukaryota; Metazoa; Chordata; Mammalia; Carnivora; Mustelidae. The record is from RNAcentral.
AUGGACUUGGGUUUGGUUGCAAAACUAGCCACAGCUCCAUUUUCUGUGCUAGGCCUGUGUGGACUCAGGGACAAAUCAGGAGACAAGUUUCAGGCCACCAAGGCACAGGGGUUGUUCAGCAGAAGCCUUUGGUCUUCAUUUACUGCAAGACAGAGCGACAUUCUGGCAUGUCUGGAUGGUUGGGAUCGGAGAUGUGUCUGGACAGCCAUCCCCAGCACCCAGUCACCCCCACCCUCAAGGAGGUUGGCAGGAGGGCCUCCCUCACCAGGUCCCUUGGGGCCCCAGGCUAUGAAGGCUCAGCCAUCUGCAAUACAUGGCACCUUCCGUCACCAGGUGUGAGGAGGAAAGUCUGGAGAAUUGUGUAUGGAUUUCCCACCCUCUCAGACUGUAAGUGACGCCCAUUGUGGCUGCUCGUGAGUCACUGGCCGGAUCUUAGCACGUGACUCCUACUAGCAAGAGGACCAGGAAAUGUAAGCAAACAAAUAGAUUCUUCCAUGUGUGUUUCUAUCUCUUCCACAAGAUGCUACUUAAUAUCACAUUCUCAUCCUUAAAAAUCAUUUCAAGGAUGCAUCCAUGUUUGGGGGGGAAAAAAAGAUCUGGGACAGUCUCUUAAUUGCAUAGCUGAAAUUCACAGGAUACCUGCUUAUUUGGUGUUAUACAGCCUCUUCAUGGUAGGUUUGCAGCCAGAGCUCUCUGAUCUCUUCAGGUCUACACUUAAGCUCUUUCUGCUCAGCCCUGGGAGCACAACAUUGUAGCAACUAGAACAAUUUGGAUGUCUAAUUUUGGUACAAGAACUUUGCUAUUGAAAGAAAGUGAAGGCAGCUUGUCCCAUUUAACAUUUCAUCCGGAACACGCAGAGACCUUUCCCACUCAUGUCUGAGGCGACCACAUCUGCAGAAUCAAUGAGAACGUAUGAUUGCUCAGUGUUGUCUGGUUAGCAUCCAAUUAUGUACAGUGUAUUUAUUUUAAAUUUAGAAGACGCACACAAGAGAUUUCCAGGAACAAAAUGAGAAGAAAUUGGCAGUGCACUGAAUGGAAAAAAAUUAAUGACUUGAAUUAUACAGCCUGUGUGUGCAUCAAAGCCGACAAGACGGGGAGCAGAGACAGGGUGCACUCGUUCACGCUCUAGUCCGCCGACGGUCCAGAGUGGUACCUGAGAGGUGUCACCCUCCAUGCAGCGGUCACAUCCUUUAUUUUCAUGGUAGGGCUGGGCUUUUUGGGUCAUGAAUGUGCCACAGUUUCAGGGGCACCAACGUGUUGCCCCUAAACAGACUUCCAUGGCAAACUUCCUUUUAGAGAAUAGAUUAAGUGAAAUCACAUUGUUGGCUCUGUGGGGCAAGAGGGAGGUGGUGAGCGAGAAAAGCCUGAGUAAAGAAUCACAGAGUAGGGCUUGGGACAUUUAUGCUGAUGGAAGGGAUCAGUAUUUGUUGAGCUCCUACUCUGUACUGUGCCUGUUAUGUGUCAAGGACCUUCACACACGUCCCACUUAUCCCUCGGGAUUAUCGCUGAUUUUAUACUGUGGGUUGAACCGCAACCCUUCAAAAUUCAGACAUUGAAAUCCUAUUUCAGACACUGAAAUACCUCAGAAUAUGACCUUUCUUGGGCAUGGGGUCAUUACAGAAGUCAUUAGCUGAGAUGAGGUCCUACUCGAUUCAGGUGGGCCCCAUAUACAAUAUGACUGAUGUUCUGAUAAAAAGGAGAAAUUUGGAGACAGAGACACACACGCACAAGGAGGACUCCGUUAGAAUGAAGGCAGGUAUGGGAGCGAUGCUUCUAGAAGCCAAGGAUGCCAGAGAUUGCCAGGAAACCCCGCAGAAGUUAGGGGAAACACAUCGAACAGAUUCUCACAGCCCACUGAGGAGGAACCUACCCAGCCAACACCUUGAUCUCAGAUUUCUGGUCUCUGAAGCUGAAAGACAAUAAAGGCUGUUGAUUAAGC